Chiloscyllium plagiosum (whitespotted bambooshark) is the source of this 103-nucleotide small nuclear RNA. Lineage: Eukaryota; Metazoa; Chordata; Chondrichthyes; Orectolobiformes; Hemiscylliidae. The record is from RefSeq and is a predicted model, not a curated record.
AUGAUCACUUCAGCAAAUAUACUAACAUUGAAACAAUGCAGAGAUGUUUAGCAUGGCUCCUGUGCUAGGAUUCAUGAGAGUUUGUGAAAAGUUCUAUAUUUUU